This is a non-coding RNA of Neolamprologus brichardi, 269 nucleotides long. The record is from RefSeq and is a predicted model, not a curated record. NCBI's taxonomy places the organism in Eukaryota, Metazoa, Chordata, Actinopteri, Cichliformes, Cichlidae.
GUUUUCUCGUUGCAGUGGCGUUCCCGCUGGUUACUGUGCUCGUGAUAGUGCUGAGCUGCUCUGUGGUGGUGAAUGUUGCACUGAUUCUCACCAGAAAACAAAAACAAAAACCAGAUUGGAAACACAGCAGAGGAAAAGUUACAGCCAAUCAAUCUCCAGUCAGUCAACAGGAGAGAUCGACUGUGGAUCAGCUGAAUAAUGUGGAGGGUGAAGAAGCGGGAGUAAACUAUGCGGCACUUGAUUUUCCCUCAAGAACAGCUACAAGAUGA